UACGGAGGGUGCAAGCGUUGCUCGGAUUUAUUGGGCGUAAAGGGUCCGUAGGCGGUUUUGUAAGUCAGUGGUGAAAGCCCAUCGCUCAACGGUGGAACGGCCAUUGAUACUGCAAAACUUGAAUUAUUGGGAAGUAACUAGAAUAUGUAGUGUAGCGGUGAAAUGCUUAGAUAUUACAUGGAAUACCAAUUGCGAAGGCAGGUUACUAUCAAUAUAUUGACGCUGAUGGACGAAAGCGUGGGGAGCGAACAGG
Molecule: ribosomal RNA, 253 nt
Filed under: uncultured bacterium
Lineage: Bacteria
Description: partial 16S ribosomal RNA
Rfam family: Bacterial small subunit ribosomal RNA
Source: RNAcentral